CGUUUUCGUUGCUGUUCUCUCUUGGGGGAUUCUGAUCUUCCCCAUUAUUGCCUUUCUCAUCACACUAAACGCCAUCACAGAAUUUAAAUAUGAAUUAAAAUUUCAGAAGAAUAAGAAAUAAAUUAUUAAAAAAAAGUUUGAAAGAACAAACUUGUCUUCUCAUUUCCUCACUAUUAAAGCUGCGGUUGAUCUUUUGUUGUUUGAAAUGGAAAUAAUUUAUAAUCUUC
This 227-nucleotide unclassified non-coding RNA is filed under the name Hevea brasiliensis (rubber tree). Lineage: Eukaryota; Viridiplantae; Streptophyta; Magnoliopsida; Malpighiales; Euphorbiaceae. The record is from RNAcentral.